Molecule: ribosomal RNA, 406 nt
Filed under: uncultured bacterium
Lineage: Bacteria
Description: partial 16S ribosomal RNA
Rfam family: Bacterial small subunit ribosomal RNA
Source: RNAcentral
AUUGAACGCUGGCGGCAGGCCUAACACAUGCAAGUCGAGCGAGCGGCGGACGGGUGAGGAAUGUCUGGGAAACUGCUUGUUGGAGGGGGAGAACUACGGGAAACGGUAGCUAAUACCGCAAACCCGCAGGUGUGCCCAGAUGGGAUUAGCUAGUGGGUGGGGUAACGGCUCACCCAGGCGACGCUCCCUAGCUGGUCUGGGAGGAUGACCAGCCACACUGGGACUGAGACACGGUCCAGACUCCUACGGGAGGCAGCAGUGGGGAAUAUUGCACAAUGGGCGCAAGCCUGAUGCAGCCAUGCCGCGUGUGUGAAGAAGGCCUUCGGGUUGUAAAGCACUUUCAGCGGGGAGGCGUUACCCGCAGAAGAAGCACCGGCUAACUCCGUGCCAGCAGCCGCGGUAAUAC